Molecule: long non-coding RNA, 4816 nt
Organism: Homo sapiens (human)
Lineage: Eukaryota; Metazoa; Chordata; Mammalia; Primates; Hominidae
Exons: 3
Source: RefSeq, a predicted model, not a curated record
ACACAUUCCUUUCUUCUGGAUAUGGGGCAGGAUCCUUUCUGGAACGGGGAUCUUAUGACCUGUAGUCAAACAAGGAUCUUGCUGCGUCACUCAGGCUGGAGUGCAGUGGCACAAUCACGGCUCAUUGCAACCUCGACUCCCCAGGUUCAAGCAAUCCUCCCACUUCAACCUCCAAAGUAGCUAGGACUACAGGUGUGGCCAUGCCUAGCUAACUUUUAAAAUUUGUUCUAGAGAUGGGGUCUCACUCUAUUGCCCAGGCUGGUCUUGAACUCCUGAGCUCAAAUGUCCCACCAACCUUGUGCUCCCAAAGUGCUGGGAUUAUGAGUGUGAGCCACUGCAUCUGGUGGCUUCCUUUUUUUAAUCCCAAUUUUUUAUUCCUUAAAAAUUUUUCCAGGUGUACAUUGUAAAAUUUGUUUUCUAUUUUACCAUUUUUCCAAAUGGCUACCCAGUUGUCCCAACAGCAUAUAUUAAAUAUUCUAUCUUCUCUAUUGAUGUGAAUUGCCAUCCUUAACAUUUACUAAAUUUGCUUAUUAUUGAUUGAUUUUGGAGAAGGGGUCUCACUUUGUCAUACAGGCUGAAGUGCAGAGGUGUAAUUACAACCCACUGCAGCCUCUACCUUCUGGGCUCAAGUGAUCCUCCCCACUCAGCCUCCUGAGUAGCUGGGACCACAGGCAUGUGCCACCAUGACUGGCUAAUUUUUAAAUUUUUUGUAGUGAUAAGGUCUCUCUAUGUUGCUCCAGCUGGUCUCCAACUCCUGGGUUCAAGGAAUGCUCCCACCUCUGCCUCCCAAAGUGCUGGGAUUACAGACAUGACCCACCGUGCCCAGGCUGCUUAUUUUUAUUUUUAUUUUUUUGAGACAAGAUUUUGCUCUGUCACCCAGCCUGGAGUGUGUAGUGGCAUGAUCUCAGCUCACUGCACCCUCGACUUCCUGAGCUCAGGUGAUUCUCCCACCUCAGCCUUCUAAGUAGCUGGGACUACAGGCCCACAUCACCACGCCAGGCUAACUUUUGUAUUUUUAGUAGAGACAGGAUUUCAGCGUGUUACCCACGCUGGUCUCAAACUCCUGGGCUCAAGCAAUCCUCCCACCUCGGGCUCCAAAAAUGCUAGGAUUACAGGCGUGAGCCACCCAGCCUGGCCUGCUUAUGAAUUUUGGUCUAGUUUUAGACAUCCUAUUCUACAACUUGGCUAGUCUGUUUAUUCAUGUAUCAGCUGUUUUAACUAUUAAGGUGUUAUAUGUCCUAUCUAGAAGGGCCAAUCCUCCUGUGUUGCUCUUCAUUGUUAUAAUUUUCCUGGUUGUUUUUGCUUAUUUAUCUUUUCAAAUGAAUGUCAGUGUUAACUUGCCUGGUUUAAAAAACCGUAUUUUAUUGAAGUUGUAUUAAGAGAAUAAAAAACUGUGGAUAAUUAAAAUUUUUAUGGUAUCAAUUUUUUUCUCAUUCUAACAAAAAGUAUGACUUUCCUUUUUUUUUUUUUUUGUCUUGCGAUGGAGUCUCACUCUGUCGCCCAGGCUGGAGUGCAGUGGCUCGAUCUCAGCUCGCUGCAGCUGUGUCCAGAACUGGUGGGUUCUUGGUCUCACUGACUUCAAGAAUGAAGCCGCGGACCCUUGUGGAUGAAGACAUCUAAGCUACUUCUGGAUUCCCUAGAAAACUUGUGCUGCCUAUUCUUUUCCAACUGUGUAGUCCUCUCCUGGCUGUUUCUGUGGUCCAGCAGACUGUGGAGAAAUAGCUUACUAUUCCAUUAGAAAGAAGAUCUUGUGUAAUAAAAAUAAGAAGUGGUAUCAGGUCAUGGGAGCUUUGGAAAUGGAAUCGAGAUUUGGUGCUUGUCUUUGCCUCUGUGGCUAACAAGGUAUAGAACGUUUGGAAGUUUCUUAACUGACUUAGGCCACCUAAAGGUAUUAGAGUAGACAAGCAGUUUGUAAAAGGUGCUUUGCAGGUAACCAGGGGCCUGCUGGUCUCUCAUAGCUGCCUCAGAGGCUCAUGAUAGAAGGUUUGAGAAACUAGGGGAUUGUCACUGAGAGGGAUACAAUGGGGACUUCGGUCGAAUAAUCUCCAUUGUCUUUCGAGCAGAACAGCAGCAGCUCUAUUUCCUAUACAUUUCACAUUUUGUAAUUCUUGAAGGAUUUUUUUUAAAACAAAGACCUCUGCUAAAACCAAACCAAACCAAAUCAAAUCAAAUAAAAGCUGCAAGACUCCUGAAGGUCCCUCUAGCUCUACAUUUUUAGUACUUUCCUAUGAUAUUUAUAUAUCCCACAUGCUGGUUCACUUUGUCAUCUGAGAUGAGACUAAUCUGUGUCCAUCUGGGAUAGAAAUUUCUUCCGUACUUUGAUGAAAAGCAGUGUAGUCCUGCAAGAUGUGAGUCUAUUUCCCCAUACUUUAUUGACACAGGUAUGAAGAUGAGAAGAGAUGGAGGCAGCAAAGGAAAUGUGGUUUUGCAUGUCACUAGCUCAACUCCCUCUGCAUUUUCUUUUAAGCAAGGGAGGUGCUCCAUUGUCUCUAUAGGGCAACAGCAGUUCACUGGGUCCCCACAUUUUUCUGGGGCUUUUGUGAGAAGCAGUAGGCAGGAACAGUGAAGAGAAACUUAGCAGGAGGCCCAGGUGCUGUCUUUUCUAGUUUCAGAGCUAUCUGAUCAGGACAAAAAGGAACAAGCUUGUCCACAGCAAGAUGGCCAGCAACUUGGUUAUUUACCCAGUUAGUCUUGGGGAACACUAGAGCUCUUCCAAUAGCUGGGACUAUUUAAAUUUUUUCAAGGAAACAUAUGCUGUGGGUUGGUGGUAGAUGGGAUUCAGGAGGAUCCUUCUCUUAUACAAGAUGACUUUCUGGAUAGGUGUUUGUGGGGUACAGAGGGAGGGAGCAAGGAGAAUAAGAGAGGAACAAACCAAAUGUUCAACAUUCUAACACUCUUUAAUAAUUUAUCUAAAAUUAUUGGAUAUUGAAUUAUUAGAGGCAUUGAAUCUUUUACUUUUUGUAUGACACUCACUCAGUCUUCAAAUAAUUUCUGAUUGAACACUAGAUUAAGAGGAAAAAAUACCACAAAUGAAAUAACUUGUAUUUUUGUUACGCAAAGGAUUAUUCUAAAAAAUAAUAAGCUGUUCCUCUAAGCCCUUUUAGAACACAUGGAAAACUUCAGAAUAGUGUGAGGGCGUCUUACAUGCACUUCUUUCUUUGGAGAUUGUGAUAACCCAAGUAGAGGAUUUAGGAUUGUGCUGCUCAGAGACAACUGUUUGGAUAAAAUAAUGCCAGAUUCAUCGUUUCCAGACUUGUUAAAUUCAUGGAGUAUUAAAAUAAAAUUGAAAUAAAAUGGAAAAUAUGAUGCCCAGUUGUUUUGUCAAAACCAGUCUAGGUGUUGCUUUGAAAGUAGUUUUUAGAUAUGAUUAACAUUUAAAUCAGUAGGCUUUGAGUAAAGCAGAUUACUCUCUGUAAUGUGGGUGGGCCUUGUCCUAUCAGUCGAAGGUCUGAAAAGAGUGAGGUCCCCUGAAGAGGAAGGAAUUCUGCCUCUGACCUGCCUUCAGACUCAAGACUGCAGCAUCAACUCUCGGAGUUUCCACCCAUCCAGGCUGCCCUGCAGGUUUCAGACUUGCCAGCCCCCAGAGCUGGUUUAGGGAAUUAAACCAAUCUUUCUCUCUCCACAUAUAUACAUACUUUGUUUUGUUUCUCUGGAGAACCCUGACUAAUAGACCAAUACAAGAUUGUGGUUUUAAUUCCACCAAGUAAGGACUGAAAACUAAACAAAUAAACAAAAAUGAAAAUCUACCAUCUAUUGUCAUCACUUCAUGAAAGAAAGAAAAAUUUACUAUUCCCAUAGGAAAGACAUACUCUCAGAACAAAGAACAAUUUUAUUGAUGAAUAAAUUCUAUCCUAUUAACUAGCUUACCACAUUGCCUUUACGUGUCUCAUUUUCCACACACAGGAGCCAGCCUUUAGGAACUGUGCUGGAGGUGACCCAACUUCUGAUUGUGUGGGAGAACUAUCCCACUGUUACUCCUAAGAGAACAUUCUCUCCCAAUAGCUCCCCCGAUAUGGAAUGUGACAGAGUAACAAGAUGCCAAAAUAUAUAGACCUCUUUUUCUUUCUACAACAUAGGUGCUCUUAAACAGUAUGCAGAGGAUUGUGUAGCUGCUUAUAAUAGGAGCCAGGCUGACACAGCUCUCUUUUCUCUUUUGUCACAGGUGAUCACAGAAAUAGCUUGCUGUAACAGCACCUCACAGUUUCCUCUUAAAAUGAAACCACAUUUUCUUUGUGCCCUUUCAGCUCAGUUCUGCUGUUCAUAGAGGGGCUUGGGAGAUUUUCCACUGUAGGUUUCUUAAAAUUCAUUAUACUUGUAGAAUGUUAGAGCUAGAAGGUCCCCUAAAGAUCAUAAAGUUCAAUUUCAUUUUUUACAGAUGAGAAAACAGAGGCUAAGAGAGGUAAAGAGGUGCUUAGUUGUGGCAGAAGAUUAGAAGAGAAGUUCCUGCAUGUCGGUUUAGCAAUCAUCUUGCUCAUUACAACUUCCUCUUCUGCCUUAAUCACUUUUCAGUUCAGUAGCCUCUUUCCUCUAGAAUAGCCCUUCUGUAUUCACACUGCCUUUUCUUUGCUUUGAAGUUACAGAUCUGAAACUCUUGCGUUAGCUAUGCUAUGGUUUUCUUCCACAUUCUGUACACUGUACUGACCAUCCUCUUAUAAACCUCUUCUCUUCUAGGUUAAAGAUUUCUUGACUUCCCUCUGGUGAAGCUUGAUACCAACUGACCUAUAAGGGCUUGGUUUUCACAACAGAGUCUUAGUCCACCCUCGCCAUCGCACCAAAUACUGAGAGAACAAAUAAAAUUAUUGCUUGAAGAAACGAA